Molecule: microRNA precursor, 169 nt
Filed under: Medicago truncatula (barrel medic)
Lineage: Eukaryota; Viridiplantae; Streptophyta; Magnoliopsida; Fabales; Fabaceae
Description: MIR2619 microRNA precursor family
Rfam family: MIR2619 microRNA precursor family
Source: Rfam by way of RNAcentral
AAACAGCCCCCUAUGUUUGAUUCUUUGGCAGUUUUGGACCCCAAGGCAAAAAAAAAAAAAAAAAAUUGACACAUGGCACCUCACUUAAGGUGCCACGUCAGCGUUGACCGAGUCAACAAUGGACUGGGGGUCCAAAACUGCUAAAGAAUCAAAACAUAGGGGACUGUUU